This 98-nucleotide ribosomal RNA is filed under the name Acanthosepion pharaonis. The record is from RNAcentral. Lineage: Eukaryota; Metazoa; Mollusca; Cephalopoda; Sepiida; Sepiidae.
CGUUGAAGCAUCGGUUCCCCUACGAUCACCGAAGUUAAGCAACGUCGAGCCUUGUCAGUACCUAAAUGGGUGACCACUUGGGAAUACCAGAUGUUAUA